Molecule: small nuclear RNA, 104 nt
Organism: Saimiri boliviensis boliviensis (Bolivian squirrel monkey)
Lineage: Eukaryota; Metazoa; Chordata; Mammalia; Primates; Cebidae
Source: Ensembl
GUGCUCGCUUCGACUGCACAUAUACUAAAAUUGGAAUGAUACAGAGGUUAGCAUGGCCCCUGCGGAAGGAUGUCAUGCAAGUUCAUGAAGUGUUCCAUAUUUUU